This 369-nucleotide ribosomal RNA is filed under the name uncultured bacterium. Its description in RNAcentral is "bacterial SSU rRNA". It matches the Rfam family "Bacterial small subunit ribosomal RNA", at positions 29 to 414 of the family's 1533-position model. The record is from RNAcentral.
AACGAACGCUGGCGGCAGGCCUAACACAUGCAAGUCGAACGCUCGUCUUUCAGCAAUGGGGACGGGAGUGGCAGACGGGUGAGUAACGCGUGGGAACGUACCCUUCGGUUCGGAACAACUCUGGGAAACUAGAGCUAAUACCGGAUACGUGCGAGAGCAGAAAGAUUUAUCGCCGGAGGAUCGGCCCGCGUCUGAUUAGCUAGUUGGUGGGGUAACGGCUCACCAAGGCGACGAUCAGUAGCUGGUCUGAGAGGAUGAUCAGCCACAUUGGGACUGAGACACGGCCCAAACUCCUACGGGAGGCAGCAGUGGGGAAUAUUGGACAAUGGGCGAAAGCCUGAUCCAGCCAUGCCGCGUGAGUGAUGAAGG